Molecule: ribosomal RNA, 613 nt
Filed under: uncultured bacterium
Lineage: Bacteria
Description: bacterial SSU rRNA
Rfam family: Bacterial small subunit ribosomal RNA
Source: RNAcentral
AACGAGAACGGAACUAGCUUGCUAGUUUGUCAGCUAAGUGGCGCACGGGUGAGUAAUAUAUAGUUAAUCUGCCCCAAAGAAGAGGAUAAUUGUUGGAAACGACUUGUAAGACUCUAUAUGCCUUUAUAACAUAAGUUAGCAAGGGAAACAUUUAUGGCUUUGGGAUGAGACUGUACGGUAUCAGUUAGUUGGUGGGGUAAUGGCCUACCAAGACAAUGACACCUAACUGGUUUGAGAGGAUGAUCAGUCACACUGGARCUGAGACACGKUCCAGACUCCUACGGGAGGCAGCRGUGGGGAAUAUUGCAYAAUGGGCGAAAGCCUGAUGCAGCAACGCCGCGUGGAGGAUGACACAUUUCGGUGCGUAAACUCCUUUUAUAUGAGAAGAUAAUGACGGUAUCAUAUGAAUAAGCACCGGCUAACUCCGUGCCAGCAGCCGCGGUAAUACGGGGGGUGCAAGCGUUACUCGGAAUCACUGGGCGUAAAGAGAAUGUAGGCGGGUAGAAAAGUCAGAAGUGAAAUCCUAUAGCUCAACUAUAGAACUGCUUCUGAAACUCUUUACCUAGAAUAUGGGAGAGGUAGAUGGAACUUCUGGUGUAGGGGUAAAAUCCGU